Long non-coding RNA from Cygnus olor (mute swan), 2671 nucleotides. RefSeq lists it as uncharacterized. The record is from RefSeq and is a predicted model, not a curated record. The transcript is spliced from 3 exons. Lineage: Eukaryota; Metazoa; Chordata; Aves; Anseriformes; Anatidae.
AUUGUAAAGAAAAGGCAGUUCAGCAUUGAACUAAAACGUGCGGUAUCCGUGAGAGAUCCUGUUGGUGUACACAACAUACAUAACACAUACAAACCAUAAAAAGCAUUCCACACUUUCUUAGGGUUUAAAACACAUGGCCAGCCCACCUUGGCGCACUGUCAGCACUGAAAAAAGUGUUUAAGAACAGCCAGACCAGUCCACAGAGUAGAUGUGAUAAGUCUUUAAAGGACAUUACUCGUCUCACAAUCACUAAAAUCACAUCAAUUGCUCAAAAGCAAGUAAGAUUUUUCCUCUUUUUUAAACAAACAUUAAAAAAAAAAAGCCUAACAGUCUGAUAAUGCUAUUGCAAGCACUGCAAAUGUGAAUUAGGACAUAAAGGUUAAGAGCAAGCUGCAAUUAGCUGUGUUACUACACUGGGCCAUUUGACAGCGAGAUCCAGAUGUUCCCACUGAUCAGCCUUUUGUCUGGCCCGCUGCGGCGCUGACUAGCAGCAUUCUUUCUGCGAGAAACGGGGACAGAACCAGAAUUUCUCUUAUGACCUCAGCCGAUUUCAGCACAAAUCUCCUGAAGUAAGAGGCCAUUAUUUCAGUUCGUUGGCAUAAUCUCAGUAAACCAGUCGACCUACUUCUAGUGCAUGCAUUACUGUUAAUGGAAGUUUCUAAUAUUCAUAUUUAACUUGUAAACGUGUCUAAUGAAUUGGAAUCCCAUUUAUACAAUUCCUCUUAAAAACUAGUAUUUCAGAACUCUCGAAGAAUGAUAUUUGUUUCCAGGUGUGUCCUCACACAAAACUAAAGAAAGUCUGGAAAACAACCAUUCAAGAGAACCUCUCUAAACUUUUGAAGAAGAAAUAGUGUAUUUUUUUAGAAGAUACUUUUCGGAGUACAUUAAAAAAUACCCGAAUUCUAUCUUCUACAAGUGCUAACGAAUUCCACCCUGACUUAUCUUGACAAGUUUAAAAAACAACACGUACAAAUUCUAUGUUGAAAUGUUCCCCAACAUACUUGCAGUUAUCCCAACUCGGUGCUGCUGGUGAAACUUCGGAUGCGUGUCCCCAGUUCUCUUCUGUCACCACGGCAGCAACAAGACCACCGGGCAGCCCAGGCAGGGCGCAGAAGCAACAGGCUCGCUCUGCCCUGACAUCGAGCCGGCGACACCUGGUGCCAGCUGGUGGAAUGUUUAUUAAGAAGCUCAAAACGUAACGCCAAUUUUUAUAAACGAUACAGAGGACAGCAGCACUCAGACAAACUGUGCAGGCAGAAGAAAGCACUUCUGGAAAAGGAAUGAAAAAAGCACCGACUUUCCAAAGCUCGUAGAGUGCUGAAGCUACUUCCUUGGAGACCAGCUCCCUCGCUCCAGCCCGCCCAAGAACUUGGGGACCAGAAGGAUUCCUAGCGGAGACGUGGCCGGGGGGCAGUGAGACCACUGCAGGCUGCAAGGACGUGCGGGGCAGCCCUGGGCUAUAGCAGCUCACCUCUGCGGCCAGAAGGACGUCUCAGAAACAUUUCCAGGGGACAGGAGAUGCUUUGAAUUUUGUAACUAUGAAAAUGAAUCCAACAACUCUACACAUCAAAGAUUUCUUUUAUAUUUUCAUUACGAUACAGGAAUGGGAGACUGGGCUUAGCAUUUGGUUGACCUUUGAGGAGAAAUUUCCGAGUGAGUAUUGCACCGAACCUUUGCCCAGCGCUGAACAUGCAAAGUGCCAUGAAUGUGGCUUCACAGAAUUGAUAAAAAUUGAACUGUUGUGGAACGCAGGAUGUAAAUACAUCAUUUUCAAAUGAAACUGUCAAACAUCUUGUUGUGGUGGUAAAAACCAAAUCACUAUGCAAAAUGAUAAUACAAGAAAAGUCAAUUGUAUGUUUCUAAUAAUAAAUGCUCUUGUGGCUUUUGAAGUCACAAAAAACUCUUGGCUGAAUUGAAGCAUUGAUUUCUGUAGUUAUUUAUGUUCAGUUCCUAUUAGAAUUCUAUUGAAUUCCUUGAAUGGUGAAUGGAAGUGCUUUUGAAAACACACACAAAAAACUGUUAAACAAGGGACAAAAUAAAUGGAGAGCCUAACAUUGCCAAAGAAAGUUUCAAAAAGUCAACAGAACAUUUCAACUUUUUUUUUGAAGUGCACGUAAGACACUUUGACAGGAAUGAUUAAGUCUAACACAAAAACAAUACACGAAAUACAUUUCUGUCACUCCUGAAGAGGAAGCAUGAACGUCAGGAUUUGCUUCUCAAGUAUUAUUUCAAAAACUCUUGGCAUACUCUUGAAAUAUGUUCUACAGUAAAACAUGUAUUUGUUAUUAAAGAAUUUUCAAGUGUUAUCACUCCAGCCUGUUGUCCACCAACAUGAAGGUAUUUUAUUUAGCACGUGUACAGAUGUAUCUGAAGUAUGCAAUAUACAUUAAUUAGAUCAUAGACACCGAAUCAACACACCUCCUAAAUAUAAUCCCCUGCUGAUUUUAGGACACAUUAGUUAAUGUUUUAUAAUAUGUGCGUUCAUAACAAUGAUAUUAUCUGCAAGUACUUGAAAUUGACCAAAGGCUUGGGCCUGGGGUCCCUAAUGCCUUCUUUCGUAAGCAUUCAUCACUUCUGUGUCAUUCUUAAGACACCUUGAAGCAUCUUCAGGGCAGCUGGGUAUGCCAGCAACUGGAAGGAGACGGGUCCGUUAUUUGAAAAGAAACCCCAU